GUAUAGGGGUGUGGGUGGUAACGCGGGGAAGUGAAACAUCUUAGUACCCGUAGGAAGAGAAAACAAGUGUGAUUCCGUGAGUAGUGGCGAGCGAAAGCGGAGGAGGCUAAACCGUGUGUGUGUUCAAGCCGGCAGGUGUUGCAUGUGCGGGGUUGUGGGGGCCUUGUGGUUCUGCUGCCGCAGGAUUGGCCAGUGAGAAAUGUUGCGUGAAGGUGAAGCGUCUGGGAAGGCGUACCGGAGUGGGUGAG
RNAcentral lists this ribosomal RNA (248 nucleotides) under Pseudomonas sp. GW460-8. Its description in RNAcentral is "partial 23S ribosomal RNA". It matches the Rfam family "Bacterial large subunit ribosomal RNA", at positions 164 to 368 of the family's 2925-position model. The record is from RNAcentral. Lineage: Bacteria; Pseudomonadati; Pseudomonadota; Gammaproteobacteria; Pseudomonadales; Pseudomonadaceae.